AGAAAGAGAUGUGAGCGUGGUAGUGUGAGAGGGAGGAGAGGCUGGAAGGGCGCGUGGAGCGUGCCUGUGCGUGGUGCGCGUGAGUGAGUGAGUGUGUGUGUGUGAGAGAGAGAGGCGGGCGAGUGAGUCCCCGCGCUGCGACGUUUUCUUUUCCUGAUACACGAUGAUCUUAUUUGAUCGGGGCGAGGGGCCCGCCGCCGCGUUCUCGCCCCGAAAUGAGAAGAACCCCUUCCCGUGAAGCCCUCUCGAAGGGCGCUGUACGGAGACGCUGGUCCACCGAGCCGGCGGCAGGUUCUGAGUCGGAAGUGAUGAAUUGAUCAGAUAGAUGAGGCCCCGAGGCUGGGACUCCCCUCCUCUCGGCCGAUGUGUAUCGAGGCGAUUCUGAUCCGA
Non-coding RNA from Anolis sagrei ordinatus, 390 nucleotides. RefSeq annotates it as small Cajal body-specific RNA 2. Lineage: Eukaryota; Metazoa; Chordata; Lepidosauria; Squamata; Anolidae. The record is from RefSeq and is a predicted model, not a curated record.